AUAAGCGUCGGUAAGGUGAUAUGAACCGUUAUAACCGGCGAUUUCCGAAUGGGGAAACCCAGUGUGAUUCGUCACACUAUCAUUACGUGAAUACAUAGCGUAAUGAAGCGAACCGGGGGAACUGAAACAUCUAAGUACCCCGAGGAAAAGAAAUCAACCGAGAUUCCCCCAGUAGCGGCGAGCGAACGGGGAGCAGCCCAGAGUCUGAAUCAGCUUGUGUGUUAGUGGAACGGUCUGGAAAGUCCGACGGUACAGGGUGAUAGUCCCGUACACCAAAAUGCACAGGUUGUGAACUCGAAGAGUAGGGCGGGACACGUGGUAUCCUGUCUGAAUAUGGGGGGACCAUCCUCCAAGGCUAAAUACUCCUGACUGACCGAUAGUGAACCAGUACCGUGAGGGAAAGGCGAAAAGAACCCCGGCGAGGGGAGUGAAAAAGAACCUGAAACCGUGUACGUACAAGCAGUGGGAGCCUCUUUAUGGGGUGACUGCGUACCUUUUGUAUAAUGGGUCAGCGACUUAUAUUCUGUAGCAAGGUUAACCGUAUAGGGGAGCCGAAGGGAAACCGAGUCUUAACUGGGCGUUAAGUUGCAGGGUAUAGACCCGAAACCCGGUGAUCUAGCCAUGGGCAGGUUGAAGGUUGGGUAACACUAACUGGAGGACCGAACCGACUAAUGUUGAAAAAUUAGCGGAUGACUUGUGGCUGGGGGUGAAAGGCCAAUCAAACCGGGAGAUAGCUGGUUCUCCCCGAAAGCUAUUUAGGUAGCGCCUCGUGAAUUCAUCUUCGGGGGUAGAGCACUGUUUCGGCUAGGGGGUCAUCCCGACUUACCAACCCGAUGCAAACUGCGAAUACCGAAGAAUGUUAUCACGGGAGACACACGGCGGGUGCUAACGUCCGUCGUGAAGAGGGAAACAACCCAGACCGCCAGCUAAGGUCCCAAAGUCAUGGUUAAGUGGGAAACGAUGUGGGAAGGCACAGACAGCCAGGAUGUUGGCUUAGAAGCAGCCAUCAUUUAAAGAAAGCGUAAUAGCUCACUGGUCGAGUCGGCCUGCGCGGAAGAUGUAACGGGGCUAAACCAUGCACCGAAGCUGCGGCAGCGACACUAUGUGUUGUUGGGUAGGGGAGCGUUCUGUAAGCCGUUGAAGGUGUACUGUGAGGUAUGCUGGAGGUAUCAGAAGUGCGAAUGCUGACAUAAGUAACGAUAAUGCGGGUGAAAAACCCGCACGCCGGAAGACCAAGGGUUCCUGUCCAACGUUAAUCGGGGCAGGGUGAGUCGACCCCUAAGGCGAGGCCGAAAGGCGUAGUCGAUGGGAAACAGGUUAAUAUUCCUGUACUUGGUGUUACUGCGAAGGGGGGACGGAGAAGGCUAUGUUAGCCGGGCGACGGUUGUCCCGGUUUAAGCAUGUAGGCGGAGGUUCCAGGUAAAUCCGGUACCUUUUUAACGCUGAGGUGUGAUGACGAGGCACUACGGUGCUGAAGUAACAAAUGCCCUGCUUCCAGGAAAAGCCUCUAAGCAUCAGGUAACACGAAAUCGUACCCCAAACCGACACAGGUGGUCAGGUAGAGAAUACCAAGGCGCUUGAGAGAACUCGGGUGAAGGAACUAGGCAAAAUGGUGCCGUAACUUCGGGAGAAG
This 1633-nucleotide ribosomal RNA is filed under the name Citrobacter freundii. RNAcentral's name for it is "partial 23S ribosomal RNA". It matches the Rfam family "Bacterial large subunit ribosomal RNA", at positions 71 to 1745 of the family's 2925-position model. The record is from RNAcentral. Lineage: Bacteria; Pseudomonadati; Pseudomonadota; Gammaproteobacteria; Enterobacterales; Enterobacteriaceae.